Molecule: unclassified non-coding RNA, 340 nt
Filed under: soil metagenome
Description: partial contains 5.8S ribosomal RNA, internal transcribed spacer 2, and large subunit ribosomal RNA
Rfam family: 5.8S ribosomal RNA (bases 1-120)
Source: RNAcentral
GAUGAAGAACGUAGCGAAACGCGAUAGUUAAUGUGAAUUGCAGAAUUCAGUGAAUCAUCGAGUCUUUGAACGCACAUUGCGCCCAUUGGUACUCCGUUGGGCAUGUCUGUUUGAGCGUCAUUACAACAGUUCAGCGUAAGCUGGUUAUGAGUUCUGUUUUUUUAAACAAAAAACAGGCUUUAAAAUGUAUGUUCUGCAGGUCGCUUUGCUAAACCCUAAACAUUAAAUACUGUUCUAGUGAAGCAUUUGCGACUCUGCCUGAAAAAAAACUUUUGUUAAAGUUUGACCUCAGAUCAGACAAGGAUACCCGCUGAACUUAAGCAUAUCAAUAAGCGGAGGA